Molecule: long non-coding RNA, 456 nt
Organism: Drosophila montana
Lineage: Eukaryota; Metazoa; Arthropoda; Insecta; Diptera; Drosophilidae
Exons: 2
Source: RefSeq, a predicted model, not a curated record
GCAUACACAUUUCAGAUAACUAGUGAGCUGUUAGACUAUGCUCUAAAAAUAUAUUUAAUGUUCGCUAACUACUCUUGUUUUUCGUGAUAAAAAUUCCAUGUUAUUAUUAGCUAAGCCCUAUUAUUGUUCCCUGAUGGAUUGCUGUAAAACUCAAACUAAAAUUAACCGCAGGAUCAGAUGCCUCGCAAGCAAACUAAUUGAGAGCCGACAGCAGCGUUUGCAAUUGUUGUUCGACGGUUUCCUCUCCUGUCUGGAGCUGGAGUACGAUUGGCCCCGCCUGAUGCACUUUGAGUUCGUGUGUAACUAGCAAAGCGGUGGCUCACGAACACGGCGACAAUUAAAAGCCAGUAAAAAGCUGAUCAGCCGUGUCGCUUGGUAACUUAAUCACAUCAAAGGUCACUCCCCCCAACCGCCUGUGGUUAAUCUGAAAUACAUGUAAGACAGAACUGGCUUGCA